AAAACUCUAAGCGGUGGAUCACUCGGCUCAUGGGUCGAUGAAGAACGCAGCAAACUGUGCGUCAUCGUGUGAACUGCAGGACACAUGAACAUCGACAUUUUGAACGCAUAUCGCAGUCCAUGCUGUUAUGUACUUUAAUUAAUUUUAUAGUGCUGCUUGGACUACAUAUGGUUGAGGGUUGUAAGACUAUGCUAAUUAAGUUGUUUAUAAAUUUUAUAAGCAUAUGGUAUAUUAUUGGAUAAAAUAAUAAUAUUUUUAUUCAUAAUAUUAAAAAAUAUAUAUGAAAAACAUUAUCUCACAUUUGGAUGUGAAAAACGAAGAGAAAUAUUUUCUUUUUCAAUCAAGUAAUACUGAGAAAUGUCUAGCAUAAAAAAUUGAAUUAUUUUUCAUCUAGAAUUGUCUCUUAUUAAUGAUUCGGAAAUAGAAAAAACUUGGUUAUGUUAUUAUUCUUCGUUGGUUCGUUUAAUGGAAAACACUUUGCUACAAGAAAUAAUGGAAAUUUUAUAACGAAUUUAAUAAAAUGUUUUUAUCAUUAUAUAUAAAGAAUUAAUGGCAAGAAAAAGUUAUAUACAACCUCAACUCAUAUGGGACUACCCCCUGAAUUUAAGCAUAUUAAUUAGGGGAGGAAAAGAAACUAACAAGGAUUUUCUUAGUAGCGGCGAGCGAAAAGAAAACAGUUCAGCACUAAGUCACUUUGUCUAUAUGGCAAAUGUGAGAUGCAGUGUAUGGAGCGUCAAUAUUCUAGUAUGAGAAAUUAACGAUUUAAGUCCUUCUUAAAUGAGGCCAUUUACCCAUAGAGGGUGCCAGGCCCGUAUAACGUUAAUGAUUACUAGAUGAUGUUUCCAAAGAGUCGUGUUGCUUGAUAGUGCAGCACUAAGUGGGUGGUAAACUCCAUCUAAAACUAAAUAUAACCAUGAGACCGAUAGUAAACAAGUACCGUGAGGGAAAGUUGAAAAGAACUCUGAAUAGAGAGUUAAACAGUACGUGAAACUGCUUAGAGGUUAAGCCCGAUGAACCUGAAUAUCCGUUAUGGAAAAUUCAUCAUUAAAAUUGUAAUAUUUAAAUAAUAUUAUGAGGAUAGUGUGCAUUUUUUCCAUAUAAGGACAUUGUAAUCUAUUAGCAUAUACCAAAUUUAUCAUAAAAUAUAACUUAUAGUUUAUUCCAAUUAAAUUGCUUGCAUUUUAACACAGAAUAAAUGUUAUUAAUUUGAUAAAGUGCUGAUAGAUUAAUAUGAUUACAGUGCGUUAAUUUUUCGGAAUUAUAUAAUGGCAUAAUUAUCAUUGAUUUUUGUGUUUAUUAUAUGCACUUGUAUGAUUAACAAUGCGAAAGAUUCAGGAUACCUUCGGGACCCGUCUUGAAACACGGACCAAGGAGUCUAACAUAUGUGCAAGUUAUUGGGAUAUAAACCUAAUAGCGUAAUUAACUUGACUAAUAAUGGGAUUAGUUUUUUAACUAUUUAUAGCUAAUUAACACAAUCCCGGGGCGUUCUAUAUAGUUAUGUAUAAUGUAUAUUUAUAUUAUUUAUGCCUCUAACUGGAACGUACCUUGAGCAUAUAUGCUGUGACCCGAAAGAUGGUGAACUAUACUUGAUCAGGUUGAAGUCAGGGGAAACCCUGAUGGAAGACCGAAACAGUUCUGACGUGCAAAUCGAUUGUCAGAAUUGAGUAUAGGGGCGAAAGACCAAUCGAACCAUCUAGUAGCUGGUUCCUUCCGAAGUUUCCCUCAGGAUAGCUGGUGCAUUUUAAUAUUAUAUAAAAUAAUCUUAUCUGGUAAAGCGAAUGAUUAGAGGCCUUAGGGUCGAAACGAUCUUAACCUAUUCUCAAACUUUAAAUGGGUAAGAACCUUAACUUUCUUGAUAUGAAGUUCAAGGUUAUGAUAUAAUGUGCCCAGUGGGCCACUUUUGGUAAGCAGAACUGGCGCUGUGGGAUGAACCAAACGUAAUGUUACGGUGCCCAAAUUAACAACUCAUGCAGAUACCAUGAAAGGCGUUGGUUGCUUAAAACAGCAGGACGGUGAUCAUGGAAGUCGAAAUCCGCUAAGGAGUGUGUAACAACUCACCUGCCGAAGCAACUAGCCCUUAAAAUGGAUGGCGCUUAAGUUGUAUACCUAUACAUUACCGCUAAAGUAGAUGAUUUAUAUUACUUGUGAUAUAAAUUUUGAAACUUUAGUGAGUAGGAAGGUACAAUGGUAUGCGUAGAAGUGUUUGGCGUAAGCCUGCAUGGAGCUGCCAUUGGUACAGAUCUUGGUGGUAGUAGCAAAUAAUCGAAUGAGACCUUGGAGGACUGAAGUGGAGAAGGGUUUCGUGUGAACAGUGGUUGAUCACGAGUUAGUCGGUCCUAAGUUCAAGGCGAAAGCCGAAAAUUUUCAAGUAAAACAAAAAUGCCAAAUUAUAUAAACAAAGCGAAAAUAAUACACUUGAAUAAUUUUGAACGAAAGGGAAUACGGUUCCAAUUCCGUAACCUGUUGAGUAUCCGUUUGUUAUUAAAUAUGGGCCUCGUGCUCAUCCUGGCAACAGGAACGACCAUAAAGAAGCCGUCGAGAGAUAUCGGAAGAGUUUUCUUUUCUGUUUUAUAGCCGUACUACCAUGGAAGUCUUUCGCAGAGAGAUAUGGUAGAUGGGCUAGAAGAGCAUGACAUAUACUGUUGUGUCGAUAUUUUCUCCUCGGACCUUGAAAAUUUAUGGUGGGGACACGCAAACUUCUCAACAGGCCGUACCAAUAUCCGCAGCUGGUCUCCAAGGUGAAGAGUCUCUAGUCGAUAGAAUAAUGUAGGUAAGGGAAGUCGGCAAAUUAGAUCCGUAACUUCGGGAUAAGGAUUGGCUCUGAAGAUUGAGAUAGUCGGGCUUGAUUGGGAAACAAUAACAUGGUUUAUGUGCUCGUUCUGGGUAAAUAGAGUUUCUAGCAUUUAUGUUAGUUACUUGUUCCCCGGAUAGUUUAGUUACGUAGCCAAUUGUGGAACUUUCUUGCUAAAAUUUUUAAGAAUACUAUUUGGGUUAAACCAAUUAGUUCUUAUUAAUUAUAACGAUUAUCAAUUAACAAUCAAUUCAGAACUGGCACGGACUUGGGGAAUCCGACUGUCUAAUUAAAACAAAGCAUUGUGAUGGCCCUAGCGGGUGUUGACACAAUGUGAUUUCUGCCCAGUGCUCUGAAUGUCAAAGUGAAGAAAUUCAAGUAAGCGCGGGUCAACGGCGGGAGUAACUAUGACUCUCUUAAGGUAGCCAAAUGCCUCGUCAUCUAAUUAGUCAGUCACUUCCUAACUCUCGUCGAGUGCAGACGUGCCUACGGAUAAAGUGUUUAUUCUCUGAGUGAUUUUCGCUGUGAAAAAGUAAACCUGGAAUCUUCAAAAACGUACAGAAAGUUGGCCCAAGACCUGAAGUGCGUGUGAUACGCGAACGCAAGUUCAUGCAACGUGUGCUUUGGCUGCAGAUGGUAUUUAACUUAUUUGCAAAAGUGCACGUGUUUAGCAAAUCAGCUGUCUGGUGUCACCAGUCGUCGCCUACUCAGCUGGUGGAACAGCUGUUCCAGUGGUGUGUGUACUGGCUAAAUUGAACCCGAUAACCACAACCAGUUUCGAAAUAGGUGGCGCCUCUACCCCUAUAGUAAAAAAUUUCUCCGCCAGAGGGCGUUAAUCAGUCCCAUAAAGCGCCACCAGGUGGCGCUCUUUGCUCCCCCCUUCUGUGCCUGACAAUUAACACUCACUCGUACAGAAAGGCAAAAUCUGAAAGACACGUGCUACUGCACGCAGUUACCAUGGGCAAAAACGAUAUGGAAGUGGAUAAUGUGGCUCUGCCCACUUCUAAGAAAAAUGGUUGGCAAACGCUGGUGCCUAAGAAGAAUGCAGGCAAGCGCAAGGAGCCACCUAAUCUAGCUACGACCGUAAACCCCAAAGUACCCAAGGUACUAAAACCCAUGAAG
This 3913-nucleotide ribosomal RNA is filed under the name Drosophila erecta. RNAcentral describes it as "eukaryotic LSU rRNA". The stretch from base 571 to 3913 matches the Rfam family "Eukaryotic large subunit ribosomal RNA". Lineage: Eukaryota; Metazoa; Arthropoda; Insecta; Diptera; Drosophilidae. The record is from RNAcentral.